AUUGAACGCUGGCGGCAGGCCUAACACAUGCAAGUCGAACGGUAACAGGAAGCAGCUUGCUGCUUUGCUGACGAGUGGCGGACGGGUGAGAAAUGUCUGGGAAACUGCCUGAUGGAGGGGGAUAACUACUGGAAACGGUAGCUAAUACCGCAUAACGUCGCAAGACCAAAGAGGGGGACCUUAGGGCCUCUUGCCAGCGGAUGUGCCCAGAUGGGAUUAGCUAGUAGGUGGGGUAACGGCUCACCUAGGCGACGAUCCCUAGCUGGUCUGAGAGGAUGACCGGCCACACUGGAACUGAGACACGGUCCAGACUCCUACGGGAGGCAGCAGUGGGGAAUAUUGCGCAAUGGGCGCAAGCCUGAUGCAGCCAUGCCGCGUGUAUGAAGAAGGCCUUCGGGUUGUAAAGUACUUUCAGCGGGGAGGAAGGGAGUAAAGUUAAUACCUUUGCUCAUUGACGUUACCCGCAGAAGAAGCACCGGCUAACUCCGUG
RNAcentral lists this ribosomal RNA (490 nucleotides) under uncultured bacterium. Its description in RNAcentral is "partial 16S ribosomal RNA". It matches the Rfam family "Bacterial small subunit ribosomal RNA", at positions 30 to 507 of the family's 1533-position model. The record is from RNAcentral.